UUUAGUAUGGAUGUUAGCUAUUUUUAAGCAAAGUUUGUUAGUUUGUUUGAUUACUUGAUAAACAAGUAUUGUGAAUAAGUUUGUAUAUAAAUAUGAUGUAAACACGCUUUCAUUAUUAAUGAGACAAAGUUUACGAUCAAUAGAAUGUUCUCUUCUUCUCUUCUUCUCUCCUCUCUCAAUAUCGAAUGUGGGAAAAACAAAGGGGUUGAAUUGUGUUGGUUUUUUAUGAUUCUUUUUUUAUUCUUUUUGUGAGUGUUUAAUACUAGAUUGACUUUGAGUGCAGCGGAUAAAACAGAAAAACAAAGAUAAAAGAGAGAUAGAGAGAAAGAGCAGACAGAUGCAAUUUUAUACUAGUUCCUCCCACACCACAACAUAGGAGUAGUCCAGUCUCUUGCACUUUCAAGGGAUUUCAUUAUAAUCUCACAGAUUACAAUUGCUCAAGUACUCUUCCAAGAAACUUCUCAAUGCUCAAGCACCCCUGGUAAAGAAACUUCUUUGCUCAAGGUCACUACUAAGAGAAUUUCACUGCUCAAGGACAACUCCAAGAGACUUCUAUUGUUCAAGCAUGCAAGUAAGAGACUUCCAACUCUCAAAGGGAACUAUGGUCAAAUUAGGCGACAAAUUGUAUUAUUCAGAGUCUGAUAGCAACCUUCCUUCACAAGGAAACAAAACUAGUCAGAAACUUAUGAUACUGACAUGGUUUCAAAGUCUUGACACCUUCUGACCUUCAGAUGCUUCUGAAUAGACUUCCUCUUUUGAUCCAAAUGUUGACUUCAGGUCUCAAGUCGAUGAUGUUUGGUUCAAGCAUAUUCCUUUAAAGGUGUCUUUAUUGGCGUGGCGUCUUCUUCGUAAUCGGGUUCCAACAAGAGAUAAUCUGGUGUGGAGGGGUAUUCUUCUUCCAACGGACGGAGCUUGUGUGGCUGGUUGUGAAACAUUGAAUCGGCAACACACCUUUUUUUGCAUUGUAAUUUUUUCAGUCAAGUGUGGUCUGGUGUGCGGACGUGGUUAGGCAUUAUUCAGUGCCGUCUGGUGAGCUUCGACAUCAUUUUCAUCAAUUCACUAAGAUAGCAGGCAUGCCAAGAACUUCUUUUUUAUUCUUAACUGUAAUUUGAUUUGCAACUGUUUGGGUGAUUUGGAAGGAGAGGAAUAAUCGUUAUUUAAAAACAUGAUGUUUGAUCGGUCAAGACUCAUUGAGCAGGUCAAGCUAACUUCAUUCCUAUGAUUGAAAUAUAAACAGGCGGUUUUAGCUUAUACUUAUCAGGAUUGGUGGAGACACCCGUUGUUAUGCAUGAGUGUGAACGUGUAAUUUAUUUUUUUAGGUUGGUGCCACUUUAUGGGGUACCUUGACACUGUAAUUAUGUAAACUUGUGUUUGGUUUUUCUCUUUGCGCUUCUUGUGCAAAGGGAAAUACCCUUGAGUAAUAUAUAUUUUUUAUUUUGAUUUGUUAAAAAAAAAUAUGAUAGGAUAUGGAAAAUAAAAAAAGAUUAAUAAUUC
RNAcentral lists this long non-coding RNA (1494 nucleotides) under Medicago truncatula (barrel medic). RNAcentral's name for it is "lncRNA gene14338". The record is from RNAcentral. Lineage: Eukaryota; Viridiplantae; Streptophyta; Magnoliopsida; Fabales; Fabaceae.